Molecule: ribosomal RNA, 886 nt
Filed under: Massariosphaeria sp.
Lineage: Eukaryota; Fungi; Ascomycota; Dothideomycetes; Pleosporales
Description: SSU rRNA
Rfam family: Eukaryotic small subunit ribosomal RNA
Source: RNAcentral
CAUUAUACCGUGAAACUGCGAAUGGCUCAUUAAAUCAGUUAUCGUUUAUUUGAUAGUACCUUACUACUUGGAUAACCGUGGUAAUUCUAGAGCUAAUACAUGCUAAAAACCCCAACUUCGGGAGGGGUGUAUUUAUUAGAUAAAAAACCAAUGCCCUUCGGGGCUCUUUGGUGAUUCAUGAUAACUUAACGGAUCGCAUGGCCUUGCGCCGGCGACGGUUCAUUCAAAUUUCUGCCCUAUCAACUUUCGAUGGUAAGGUAUUGGCUUACCAUGGUUUCAACGGGUAACGGGGAAUUAGGGUUCGAUUCCGGAGAGGGAGCCUGAGAAACGGCUACCACAUCCAAGGAAGGCAGCAGGCGCGCAAAUUACCCAAUCCCGACACGGGGAGGUAGUGACAAUAAAUACUGAUACAGGGCUCUUUUGGGUCUUGUAAUUGGAAUGAGUACAAUUUAAACCCCUUAACGAGGAACAAUUGGAGGGCAAGUCUGGUGCCAGCAGCCGCGGUAAUUCCAGCUCCAAUAGCGUAUAUUAAAGUUGUUGCAGUUAAAAAGCUCGUAGUUGAAACUUGGGCCUGGCUGUCUGGUCCGCCUCACCGCGUGUACUGGUUCGGCCGGGCCUUUCCUUCUGGAGAGCCUCAUGCCCUUCACUGGGUGUGUUGGGGAACCAGGACUUUUACUUUGAAAAAAUUAGAGUGUUCAAAGCAGGCCUUUGCUCGAAUACGUUAGCAUGGAAUAAUAGAAUAGGACGUGCGAUCCUAUUUUGUUGGUUUCUAGGACCGCCGUAAUGAUUAAUAGGGAUAGUCGGGGGCAUCAGUAUUCAAUUGUCAGAGGUGAAAUUCUUGGAUUUAUUGAAGACUAACUACUGCGAAAGCAUUUGCCAAAGGAUG